Molecule: ribosomal RNA, 406 nt
Filed under: uncultured bacterium
Lineage: Bacteria
Description: partial 16S ribosomal RNA
Rfam family: Bacterial small subunit ribosomal RNA
Source: RNAcentral
GACGAACGCUGGCGGCGCGCUUAACACAUGCAAGUCGAGCGAAGCGGCGGACGGGUGAGUAACACGUGAGUAACCUGCCUUAGACAUUGGGAUAGCCUCGGGAAACCGGGAUUAAUACAAAAUGGUCUAAGAUUGACUCGCGUCCCAUUAGCUAGUUGGUGGGUAACGGGCCACCAAGGCGACGGUGGGGAGCCGGCCUGAGAGGUUGAACGGCCACCUUGGAGCUGAGAAUCUGUCCAAACUCUACGGGAGGCAGCAGUGGGGAAUAUUGCCAAAUGGAGGUAACUCUGAUGCAGCGACGCCGCGUGAACGAAUAAGGCUUUCGAGUCGUAAAGUUCUUUUAUAUGGGAAGCGGUACCAUAAGAAAAAGCCCCGGCUAACUACGUGCCAGCAGCCGCGGUAAUUC